RNAcentral lists this transfer RNA (74 nucleotides) under Lachnospiraceae bacterium. RNAcentral's name for it is "tRNA-Gly". It matches the Rfam family "tRNA". Rfam says of the family: Transfer RNA (tRNA) molecules are approximately 80 nucleotides in length. Lineage: Bacteria; Bacillati; Bacillota; Clostridia; Lachnospirales; Lachnospiraceae. The record is from RNAcentral.
GUGGAUAUGGUGUUUAACGGUCAGCAUACAGGCUUGCCAAGUCUGAGGUACGAGUUCAAAUCUCGCUAUCCACU